UACGAAGGGGGCUAGCGUUGUUCGGAUUUACUGGGCGUAAAGCGCACGUAGGCGGAUCUUUAAGUCAGGGGUGAAAUCCCAAGGCUCAACCUUGGAACUGCCUUUGAUACUGGGGAUCUCGAGUUCGGGAGAGGUGAGUGGAACUGCGAGUGUAGAGGUGAAAUUCGUAGAUAUUCGCAAGAACACCAGUGGCGAAGGCGGCUCACUGGCCCGAUACUGACGCUGAGGUGCGAAAGCGUGGGGAGCAAACAGG
Molecule: ribosomal RNA, 253 nt
Filed under: uncultured bacterium
Lineage: Bacteria
Description: partial 16S ribosomal RNA
Rfam family: Bacterial small subunit ribosomal RNA
Source: RNAcentral